Molecule: long non-coding RNA, 199 nt
Filed under: Elaeis guineensis (African oil palm)
Lineage: Eukaryota; Viridiplantae; Streptophyta; Magnoliopsida; Arecales; Arecaceae
Description: long non-coding RNA (EGUI_LNC071782)
Source: RNAcentral
UUCACAGCAAUCUAAUACUCCCGGCCUAAAUUUGACUAAUAUCUGCUCGUGACUUUCACAGCAAGAUAUACCAAAUCAAGUACAUAGCAUGGCAUACACCUAUGUCCAAAAGGAUAAUGGAUCCCUCUUGAAGGUUUCAAUGCUGAACCUUUUCAGUACCUCUUCUAUGUACUUAUUUGUGAAAAUCAAAUAUCCUUUU